GACGAACGCUGGCGGCGUGCCUAAUACAUGCAAGUUGAGCGAUGAAGAUUGGUGCUUGCACCAAUUUGAAGAGCAGCGCACGGGUGAGUAACGCGUGGGGAAUCUGCCUUUGAGCGGGGGACAACAUUUGGAAACGAAUGCUAAUACCGCAUAACAACUUUAAACAUAAGUUUUAAGUUUGAAAGAUGCAAUUGCAUCACUCAAAGAUGAUCCCGCGUUGUAUUAGCUAGUUGGGGAGGUAAAGGCUCACCAAGGCGAUGAUACAUAGCCGACCUGAGAGGGUGAUCGGCCACAUUGGGACUGAGACACGGCCCAAACUCCUACGGGAGGCAGCAGUAGGGAAUCUUCGGAAAUGGACGAAAGUCUGACCGAGCAACGCCGCGUGAGUGAAGAAGGUUUUCGGAUCGUAAAACUCUGUUGGUAGAGAAGAACGUUGGUGAGAGUGGAAAGCUCAUCAAGUGACGGUAACUACACAGAAAGGGACGGCUAACUACGUG
Molecule: ribosomal RNA, 497 nt
Filed under: uncultured bacterium
Lineage: Bacteria
Description: partial 16S ribosomal RNA
Rfam family: Bacterial small subunit ribosomal RNA
Source: RNAcentral